GCUGUGAUGGCGGAGUGGUUAAGGCGUUGGACUUGAAAUCCAAUAGGAUCUUCCCGCGUAGGUACGAACCCUACUCACAGCG
This 82-nucleotide transfer RNA is filed under the name Gigantopelta aegis. Its description in RNAcentral is "tRNA-Ser". It matches the Rfam family "tRNA". Rfam says of the family: Transfer RNA (tRNA) molecules are approximately 80 nucleotides in length. Their secondary structure includes four short double-helical elements and three loops (D, anti-codon, and T loops). The record is from RNAcentral. Lineage: Eukaryota; Metazoa; Mollusca; Gastropoda; Neomphalida; Peltospiridae.